GCUGGGAGCAGUGGUGCUCGCCUGUAAUCCCAGGGGCUCAGGAGGCUGAGGCAGGAAGAUUGCUAAGGACUCAGUGAGACCCUGCCUCUA
This 90-nucleotide small RNA is filed under the name Marmota monax (woodchuck). Lineage: Eukaryota; Metazoa; Chordata; Mammalia; Rodentia; Sciuridae. The record is from RNAcentral.